Molecule: ribosomal RNA, 490 nt
Filed under: uncultured bacterium
Lineage: Bacteria
Description: bacterial SSU rRNA
Rfam family: Bacterial small subunit ribosomal RNA
Source: RNAcentral
GAUGAACGCUAGCGGCAGGCUUAACACAUGCAAGUCGAGGGGCAGCGUGAUGAAGUAGCAAUACGGAUUUGACGGCGACCGGCGCACGGGUGCGUAACGCGUAUGUAACCUACCUUUAACAGGGGGAUAACACUGAGAAAUUGGUACUAAUACCCCAUAACACUUUAGGAGGCAUCUCCUUUGGUUGAAAGUUCCGGCGGUUAAAGAUGGACAUGCGUUGUAUUAGCUAGAUGGUGAGGUAACGGCUUACCAUGGCGACGAUACAUAGGGGGACUGAGAGGUUAACCCCCCACACUGGUACUGAGACACGGACCAGACUCCUACGGGAGGCAGCAGUGAGGAAUAUUGGUCAAUGGGCGCAAGCCUGAACCAGCCAAGUCGCGUGAGGGAAGACGGCCCUACGGGUUGUAAACCUCUUUUGUCGGGGAGCAAAUUGAUGACGUGUCAUCAGGUGAGAGUACCCGAAGAAAAAGCAUCGGCUAACUCCGUG